RNAcentral lists this unclassified non-coding RNA (380 nucleotides) under Hevea brasiliensis (rubber tree). The record is from RNAcentral. Lineage: Eukaryota; Viridiplantae; Streptophyta; Magnoliopsida; Malpighiales; Euphorbiaceae.
AGAGAGAGAGAGGACUAUUUGUGAGGAGUAAGGAAUCAAUCUAAUAAAACGGAAGGUUGGGAAUUUUCCAAUGACUGUUAUUGAUUUCAUUCAUCAACUCCAAUUCUCAGGCAAACACGAAAUAUUUCAUCCAGCACCAAAAGGUUUACAAAAGAAAAGAAACAUAGACUAGGAUAACAGCCACCCAAACACAGAGUAAGCUCUGCCUCCCCAAGCAAUUUGCUGGAAUUACAACUGAAAAAUUCACAAUACUACCGUCAUGGCCCCACAAAGAGCCUCACAUAACUACUUAUAGACUUCCAGCCUUCCACGUUCCUUCAUUUGCAAAAUUACCUCCAACAGAUUGCUUUUCUUUUUCAUGCUGAAUAACAACCUGUUGA